RNAcentral lists this long non-coding RNA (1257 nucleotides) under Felis catus (domestic cat). RNAcentral describes it as "lncRNA (ENSFCAG00000048511.1)". Lineage: Eukaryota; Metazoa; Chordata; Mammalia; Carnivora; Felidae. The record is from RNAcentral.
GUGACACAAGUGCACCUCAUCAGCAAAACAGCUCUUUCCUGCCUCCCCGGCCAGCCCCACCCUCCGUGAGACACCGUGCCAUGGGCGGCGGCUGGCAGGUGCCAGUCGGGAGAAGGCAUGGCUACUUCCGGAGUCUUAGGACAGGUUCCUUUUGCGGUGGCCCGGCCGUGCCGACCUCAGGCAGGACUGCAUCCCGAGGCCGAGGCAGCCCUACCACGACCAGUCCAUUUCGCGUCUACCCUCAGAGAUUGGGGUAAGACUUCCAGGUGAAGGACGCAUCUGUUCUACUUCCUCAAUCCUCUCCCAGCGCACUCGCGUUCGAGUUUCAUCUCGUUAUGAGCUCAGAGUAAAGGUAAAAAAGGCUUGUUGUUCUGGACUAAGUCGGGGACUGAGGCUCUUGUCACCUCCCGGCCCAAGCAGCUCGUCCUGACGGAGAAAAGCAUGGGCUCUGGAGUCAGACAGCCCAGUUCAGCUUUGGGAAAGUUAUUCUCUGUGCAUUGCUGUCCUCAUCUGUAUAAUGGGUAUGUUAGGUAUACCCCCCCCUCGUUACCGUUGUGGUGAGGAUCUAAUAAGACGAUACGAGUGCUUAGCAUGGUGCCUGGCGCAUAACAGCCACUCAGCAAAUAAUAGCGAUUGACGUAUGAUUAGGUGUCGCUUUCCGUCACCGCGGAGCACCCGAAACCAAAAAACUGUGACCGGGAAGCUGAGCUGUGAUUCCUUUCAAGUCUUUCCCAAUUACACAAACUGAGACAGACGCAUUUAUUUGUUCAACAAUCAGUCAUCGGGAGCCUCCUGGGUGCCAGGCCCCGUGUUUGGCACCUCGGCCUUCUGCAACCAAGAUGCAGAGCCCCCACUCAGGAAGCCCACGGUCCAGUGGGGAAGGUGGUGAGGACAGGGGGAGGGGGCUCAUCUCUGGAGAUUCAGAAGUAGAAGAGGCUCUCAGUGGAGGCAGGGGGCCAGAUGGAUGACCUCAACAGGAGCCUUAGCCGACCGUCCUUCCCCUCCUGCCUACGAAGGGCCAUAGUUGGGGCAUAGUUUGCCAGAACUCUCUAUUUCCCCACUGCCGACCCCUGGCCUAAUGCCAGGGAGUGGGAAAUUCUGCGAAGCCCCUGUGUCAAGCAGGCAACUCCUGGCAGCUCCUGGGUUGUACCAGCCCCUCCUCUUUCCCCCAUACUUUGUCCUGGGAACUUUGUAGUUAUCUUCCUAAAGCACAGGCCCCUCAAGGACAGGGACCAUGUAGGCUUCUCUUGAUUCAGU